GACGAACGCUGGCGGCGUGCUUAACACAUGCAAGUCGAACGGACAGGCCUUUUCGUAGGUACUCGAGUGGCGAAGGGGUGAGUAACACGUGGGUGUUCUGCACUUCACUCUGGGACAAGCCUGGGAACCUGGGUCUAAUACCGAAUACGACCGCUCUUUAGUGUGUGUGGGGGAAAGUGUUUUCGGUGUAGGAUUAGCCCGCGGCCUAUCAGCUCGUUGGUGGGGUAAUGGCCGACCAAGGCGGCGCCGGGUAGCCGGACUGGGGGGUUGGUCGGCGACAUUGGCACUGAGAGGAGGCCCAGACUCAGACGGGAGGGAGCGGGGGGGAAUAUUGCACAAUGGGCGCAGGCUUGAUGCAGCGACGCCGCGUGGGGGAUAACGGUGUUCGUCUUGUAGACUUAAUUCGCCAGUGACGAUGCGUUUUGUGACGGUACCUGGAGAAGAAGCCCCGGCUAACUACGUG
RNAcentral lists this ribosomal RNA (463 nucleotides) under uncultured bacterium. Its description in RNAcentral is "partial 16S ribosomal RNA". It matches the Rfam family "Bacterial small subunit ribosomal RNA", at positions 28 to 507 of the family's 1533-position model. The record is from RNAcentral.